AAUCCAUAGGUUAAUGAGGCGAACCGGGGGAACUGAAACAUCUAAGUACCCCGAGGAAAAGAAAUCAACCGAGAUUCCCCCAGUAGCGGCGAGCGAACGGGGAGGAGCCCAGAGCCUGAAUCAGCAUGUGUGUUAGUGGAAGCGUCUGGAAAGGCGCGCGAUACAGGGUGACAGCCCCGUACACAAAAGCGCAUGUGCUGUGAGCUCGAUGAGUAGGGCGGGACACGUGGUAUCCUGUCUGAAUAUGGGGGGACCAUCCUCCAAGGCUAAAUACUCCUGACUGACCGAUAGUGAACCAGUACCGUGAGGGAAAGGCGAAAAGAACCCCGGCGAGGGGAGUGAAAAAGAACCUGAAACCGUGUACGUACAAGCAGUGGGAGCACCCUUUGGGUGUGACUGCGUACCUUUUGUAUAAUGGGUCAGCGACUUAUAUUCUGUAGCAAGGUUAACCGAAUAGGGGAGCCGGAGGGAAACCGAGUCUUAAUUGGGCGUUAAGUUGCAGGGUAUAGACCCGAAACCCGGUGAUCUAGCCAUGGGCAGGUUGAAGGUUGGGUAACACUAACUGGAGGACCGAACCGACUAAUGUUGAAAAAUUAGCGGAUGACCUGUGGCUGGGGGUGAAAGGCCAAUCAAACCGGGAGAUAGCUGGUUCUCCCCGAAAGCUAUUUAGGUAGCGCCUCGUGAAUUCAUCUCCGGGGGUAGAGCACUGUUUCGGCUAGGGGGCCAUCCCGGCUUACCAACCCGAUGCAAACUGCGAAUACCGGAGAAUGUUAUCACGGGAGACACACGGCGGGUGCUAACGUCCGUCGUGAAGAGGGAAACAACCCAGACCGCCAGCUAAGGUCCCAAAGUCAUGGUUAAGUGGGAAACGAUGUGGGAAGGCCCAGACAGCCAGGAUGUUGGCUUAGAAGCAGCCAUCAUUUAAAGAAAGCGUAAUAGCUCACUGGUCGAGUCGGCCUGCGCGGAAGAUGUAACGGGGCUAAACCAUGCACCGAAGCUGCGGCAG
Molecule: ribosomal RNA, 1006 nt
Filed under: Salmonella enterica subsp. enterica serovar Enteritidis
Lineage: Bacteria; Pseudomonadati; Pseudomonadota; Gammaproteobacteria; Enterobacterales; Enterobacteriaceae
Description: partial 23S ribosomal RNA
Rfam family: Bacterial large subunit ribosomal RNA
Source: RNAcentral